This 548-nucleotide ribosomal RNA is filed under the name Veillonellaceae bacterium oral taxon 150. Its description in RNAcentral is "bacterial SSU rRNA". It matches the Rfam family "Bacterial small subunit ribosomal RNA", at positions 371 to 908 of the family's 1533-position model. The record is from RNAcentral. Lineage: Bacteria; Bacillati; Bacillota; Negativicutes; Veillonellales; Veillonellaceae.
AUGGGCGAAAGCCUGACGGAGACAACGCCGCGUGAGUGAAGAAGGUGCUUCGGAGCUAAAGCUCUGUUGUUGGGGACGAAAGGAAAAGGGAGGAAAUGCCCUUUUUAAGACGGUACCCGACGAGCAAGCCACGGCUAACUACGUGCCAGCAGCCGCGGUAAUACGUAGGUGGCGAGCGUUGUCCGGGAUGAUUGGGCGUAAAGGGAGCGCAGGUGGGACGGUAAGUCCUUCUUAAAAGCGUGGGGCUCAGCCCCCAUGAAGGGGAAGGAAACUAUCGAUCUUGAGUGCCAGAGAGGAAAGCGGAAUUCCCAGUGUAGCGGUGAAAUGCGUAGAUAUUGGGAAGAACACCAGUGGCGAAGGCGGCUUUCUGGACGGCAACUGACACUGAGGCUCGAAAGCCAGGGGAGCGAACGGGAUUAGAUACCCCGCUAGUCCUGGCCGUAAACGAUGGAUACUAGGUGUAGGAGGUAUCGACCCCUUCUGUGCCGGAGUCAACGCAAUAAGUAUCCCGCCUGGGGAGUACAGUCGCAAGAUUGAAACUCAAAGGA